UUUCGAAUCAUUCACAAUGGGCGAAAGCCUGAUGGUGCGACGCCGCGUGAGGGAUGAAGGUCUUCGGAUUGUAAACCUCUGUCACUGGGGAAGAAACGCUGAAUCCUAAUACGAUUCAGCCUGACUUAACCCGGAGAGGAAGCAGUGGCUAACUCUGUGCCAGCAGCCGCGGUAAUACAGAGACUGCAAGCGUUAUUCGGAUUCACUGGGCGUAAAGGGUGCGCAGGUGGCCAAGUGUGUCAGGUGUGAAAUCCCGGAGCUUAACUCCGGAACUGCGCCUGAAACUGCAUGGCUAGAGCAUUGGAGAGGGAAGUGGAAUUCACGGUGUAGCAGUGAAAUGCGUAGAUAUCGUGAGGAACACCAGAGGCGAAGGCGACUUCCUGGACAAUUGCUGACACUCAGGCACGAAAGCGUGGGUAGCCAAAGG
This 427-nucleotide ribosomal RNA is filed under the name Microvirga ossetica. Its description in RNAcentral is "partial 16S ribosomal RNA". It matches the Rfam family "Bacterial small subunit ribosomal RNA", at positions 355 to 775 of the family's 1533-position model. Lineage: Bacteria; Pseudomonadati; Pseudomonadota; Alphaproteobacteria; Hyphomicrobiales; Methylobacteriaceae. The record is from RNAcentral. RNAcentral also lists the same sequence under 1 other name.